RNAcentral lists this ribosomal RNA (301 nucleotides) under uncultured bacterium. RNAcentral describes it as "partial 16S ribosomal RNA". It matches the Rfam family "Bacterial small subunit ribosomal RNA", at positions 509 to 807 of the family's 1533-position model. The record is from RNAcentral.
CAGCAGCCGCGGGAAUACCGAGGGUGCGAGCGUUAAUCGGAUUUACUGGGCGUAAAGCGUGCGUAGGCGGCUUCUUAAGUCGGAUGUGAAAUCCCUGAGCUUAACUUAGGAAUUGCAUUCGAUACUGGGAAGCUAGAGUAUGGGAGAGGAUGGUAGAAUUCCAGGUGUAGCGGUGAAAUGCGUAGAGAUCUGGAGGAAUACCGAUGGCGAAGGCAGCCAUCUGGCCUAAUACUGACGCUGAGGUACGAAAGCAUGGGGAGCAAACAGGAUUAGAUACCCCCGUAGUCCCUGUCUCUUAUAC